This 588-nucleotide ribosomal RNA is filed under the name uncultured Planctomycetales bacterium. RNAcentral's name for it is "bacterial SSU rRNA". It matches the Rfam family "Bacterial small subunit ribosomal RNA", at positions 338 to 916 of the family's 1533-position model. Lineage: Bacteria; Pseudomonadati; Planctomycetota; Planctomycetia; Planctomycetales. The record is from RNAcentral.
CCUACGGGAGGCAGCAGUGGGGAAUAUUGCGCAAUGGGCGAAAGCCUGACGCAGCGACGCCGCGUGAGGGAAGAAGGCUCUCGGGUCGUAAACCUCUGUCAGGAGGGAAGAAAUGCCAUGCGGUUAAUAUCCGUAUGGCUUGACGGUACCUCCGGAGGAAGCAUCGGCUAACUACGUGCCAGCAGCCGCGGUAAUACGGAGGGUGCAAGCGUUGUCCGGAAUCACUGGGUGUAAAGGGUGUGUAGGCGGACAGGUAAGUGUCUUGUGAAAUCCCACGGCUCAACCGUGGAAUUGCUCGGCAGACUGCCUGUCUUGAGCUCGGCAGGGGCCGUCGGAACUCUAGGUGGAGCGGUGAAAUGCGUAGAUAUCUAGAGGAACGCCAAAGGUGAAGACAGACGGCUGGGCCGACGCUGACGCUCAGGCACGAAAGCGUGGGUAGCGAACGGGAUUAGAUACCCCGGUAGUCCACGCCCUAAACGAUGUGCACUAGGUCGGGGAGGUUUUGACGCCAUCUCGGCCGCAGUUAAAACAUUAAGUGCACCGCCUGGGGAGUACGGUCGCAAGGCUAAAACUCAAAGGAAUUGACGG